CAUAAGGUUGUACUUUUCACUUCAAAUAUGGUCAGAAAGUUAUUUUGCAAGUUGACUUGGAGGAGUUUGAUCUCACUGUUAUUCACACGUGGCCCCUGGUGAACACACACUGAAGGACUCCCUGCAGCCUGCAGGCAAGUCCAUGUCAGACCCGUGUGUCUGAUAGCAGCCCGAAUCAGAUAAAAAGACUGCUAACCUAGUCCAGGUGGAGUAAUGGAAUUACGAACAGCCGUGUCUGGACUGAGACAGACGGUGGGCGGAAUGAAGGCAAAGAGAAAGGGAGAUGAAGUAAUGGAUUCCAGAGGGGAUUUGGGCAGCAGAGGAGAGGAGAUUUAACAUGAGUUCAAAUGAGAAGAUAUAGUCCUCGGCUCCAACCAGCAGUCUCCCUCGCUCCUCGUCCAAUAAGAAUGUGUCAUAGCCCGAACUAUUUGCCAGGCCAUUAAAGGAUCGCCUGAAUCAACACUAAGUGGGCUUCCCUGUCUCUAUUGGAAAAGAGCUUAAUAUUCUCCAACAAUCCUUCGAGGCCGCCGUGAACCUGUUUCAUAUCUACUCAAUUCAAAUUACGCACAGGUGGAUUCCACACACAGAUUAGGUAAAUUCCCUGUGUCCAGAAGUGAAAAAUCCAAUUGGACGUCCCGACAGACACACAGCUGUCAUGUUGUUAUGUAAUUGUGAA
Molecule: long non-coding RNA, 676 nt
Organism: Gambusia affinis (western mosquitofish)
Lineage: Eukaryota; Metazoa; Chordata; Actinopteri; Cyprinodontiformes; Poeciliidae
Exons: 4
Source: RefSeq, a predicted model, not a curated record